RNAcentral lists this ribosomal RNA (584 nucleotides) under uncultured bacterium. Its description in RNAcentral is "partial 16S ribosomal RNA". It matches the Rfam family "Bacterial small subunit ribosomal RNA", at positions 355 to 1375 of the family's 1533-position model. The record is from RNAcentral.
UGGGGAAUUUUGGACAAUGGGCGAAAGCCUGAUCCAGCAAUGCCGCGUGUGUGAAGAAGGCCUUCGGGUUGUAAAGCACUUUUGUCCGGAAAGAAAUCCUUGGCUCUAAUACAGUCGGGGGAUGACGGUACCGGAAGAAUAAGCACCGGCUAACUACGUGCCAGCAGCCGCGGUAAUACGUAGGGUGCAAGCGUUAAUCGGAAUUACUGGGCGUAAAGCGUGCGCAGGCGGUUUGCUAAGACCGAUGUGAAAUCCCGGGCUCAACCUGGGAACUGCAUUGGUGACUGGCAGGCUAGAGUAUGGCAGAGGGGGGUAGAAUUCCACGUGUAGCAGUGAAAUGCGUAGAGAUGUGGAGGAAUACCGAUGGCGAAGGCAGCCCCCUGGGCCAAUACUGACGCUCAUGCACGAAAGCGUGGGGAGCAAACAGGAUUAGAUACCCUGGUAGUCCACGCCCUAAACGAUGUCAACUAGUUGUUGGGGAUUCAUUUCCUUAGUAACGUAGCUAACGCGUGAAGUUGACCGCCUGGGGAGUACGGUCGCAAGAUUAAAACUCAAAUGAAUUGACGGGGUCAUAGCUGUUUCCU